This 440-nucleotide ribosomal RNA is filed under the name uncultured bacterium. Its description in RNAcentral is "partial 16S ribosomal RNA". It matches the Rfam family "Bacterial small subunit ribosomal RNA", at positions 338 to 795 of the family's 1533-position model. The record is from RNAcentral.
CCUACGGGUGGCAGCAGUAGGGAAUAUUGGUCAAUGGGCGAAACCCUGAAGCAGCAACGCCGCGUGGAGGACGAAGGUUUUCGGAUUGUAAACUCCUUUUGGUAGAGAAGAUAAUGACGGUAUCUAACGAAUAAGCACCGGCUAACUCCGUGCCAGCUGCCGCCGUAAUACGGAGGGUGCAAGCGUUACUCGGAAUCACUGGGCGUAAAGGGCGCGUAGGCGGGAUAGCAAGUCAGAUGUGAAAUCCUAUGGCUUAACCAUAGAACAGCAGUUGAAACUGUUAUUCUAGAGUAUGGGAGAGGUAGGUGGAAUGCUUGGUGUAGGGGUAAAAUCCGUAGAGAUCAAGAAGAAUACUCAUUGCGAAGGCGGCCUGCUAGAAGAGAACUGACGCUGAUGCGCGAAAGCGUGGGGAGCAAACAGGAUUAGAUACCCGAGUAGUC